Molecule: ribosomal RNA, 497 nt
Filed under: uncultured bacterium
Lineage: Bacteria
Description: partial 16S ribosomal RNA
Rfam family: Bacterial small subunit ribosomal RNA
Source: RNAcentral
GAUGAACGCUGGCGGCGUGCCUAAUACAUGCAAGUCGAGCGAACGGACGAGAAGCUUGCUUUUCUGAUGUUAGCGGCGGACGGGUGAGUAACACGUGGAUAACCUACCUAUAAGACUGGGAUAACUUCGGGAAACCGGAGCUAAUACCGGAUAAUAUUUUGAACCGCAUGGUUCAAAGGUGAAAGACGGUCUUGCUGUCACUUAUAGAUGGAUCCGCGCUGCAUUAGCUAGUUGGUAAGGUAACGGAUUACCAAGGCAACGAUGCAUAGCCGACCUGAGAGGGUGAUCGGCCACACUGGAACUGAGACACGGUCCAGACUCCUACGGGAGGCAGCAGUAGGGAAUCUUCCGCAAUGGGCGAAAGCCUGACGGAGCAACGCCGCGUGAGUGAUGAAGGUCUUCGGAUCGUAAAACUCUGUUAUUAGGGAAGAACAUAUGUGUAAGUAACUGUGCACAUCUUGACGGUACCUAAUCAGAAAGCCACGGCUAACUACGUG